AUACGUAGGUGACAAGCGUUAUCCGGAUUUACUGGGCGUAAAGGGCGUGUAGGCGGUCUUGCAAGUCAGAAGUGAAAUUCCUGAGCUCAACUCGGGCGCUGCUUCUGAAACUGCAGGACUUGAGUGCUGGAGGGGAUAGCGGAAUUCCUAGUGGAGCGGUAAAAUGCGCAGAUAUUAGGAGGAACACCAGUGGCGAAGGCGGCCUGCUGGACGACAACUGACGCUGAGGCGCGAAAGCGUGGGGAGCAAACAGGAUUAGAUACCCUGGUAGUCCACGCUGUAAACGAUGAAUACUAGGUGUGGGGGGACUGACCCCCUCCGUGCCGCAGUUAACACAAUAAGUAUUCCACCUGGGGAGUACGAUCGCAAGAUUGAAACUCAAAUGAAUUGGCGGGG
This 396-nucleotide ribosomal RNA is filed under the name uncultured bacterium. RNAcentral describes it as "partial 16S ribosomal RNA". It matches the Rfam family "Bacterial small subunit ribosomal RNA", at positions 523 to 918 of the family's 1533-position model. The record is from RNAcentral.